RNAcentral lists this ribosomal RNA (407 nucleotides) under bacterium enrichment culture clone ALO1_GLFRUDD03GNIQ3. RNAcentral describes it as "bacterial SSU rRNA". It matches the Rfam family "Bacterial small subunit ribosomal RNA", at positions 9 to 417 of the family's 1533-position model. The record is from RNAcentral.
GAGUUUGAUCGUGGCUCAGAUUGAACGCUGGCGGCAUGCCUUACACAUGCAAGUCGAACGGCAGCACGGGAGCUUGCUCCUGGUGGCGAGUGGCGAACGGGUGAGUAAUGCAUCGGAACGUAUCCUGGAGUGGGGGAUAACGUAGCGAAAGUUACGCUAAUACCGCAUAUUCUGUGAGCAGGAAAGCGGGGGACCUUCGGGCCUCGCGCUCUUGGAGCGGCCGAUGUCGGAUUAGCUAGUUGGUGAGGUAAAGGCUCACCAAAGCGACGAUCCGUAGCAGGUCUGAGAGGAUGAUCUGCCACACUGGAACUGAGACACGGUCCAGACUCCUACGGGAGGCAGCAGUGGGAAUUUUGGACAAUGGGGGCAACCCUGAUCCAGCCAUGCCGCGUGAGUGAAGAAGGCCU